RNAcentral lists this ribosomal RNA (494 nucleotides) under uncultured bacterium. Its description in RNAcentral is "partial 16S ribosomal RNA". It matches the Rfam family "Bacterial small subunit ribosomal RNA", at positions 28 to 507 of the family's 1533-position model. The record is from RNAcentral.
GACGAACGCUGGCGGCGUGCUUAACACAUGCAAGUCGAACGGUGAAGCGCCUUCCUUUUUGGUGGGUGUGGAUGAGUGGCGAACGGGUGAGUAACACGUGAGUAACCUGCCCCCUUCUUCUGGAUAACCGCAUGAAAGUGUGGCUAAUACGGGAUAUUCUGGGUCUGUCGCAUGAUGGGUCUGGGAAAGAUAUUGUUUCGGUGGGGGAUGGGCUCGCGGCCUAUCAGCUUGUUGGUGGGGUGAUGGCCUACCAAGGCGGUGACGGGUAGCCGGCCUGAGAGGGUGGACGGUCACACUGGGACUGAGACACGGCCAAGACUCCGACGGGCGGCAGCAGUGGGGAAUAUUGCACAAUGGGCGCAAGCCUGAUGCAGCGCCGCCGCGUGAGGGAUGGAGGCCUUCGGGUUGUGAACCUCUUUCGCCAGUGAAGCAGGCCUGCCUCGUUUGUGGGUGGGUUGACGGUAGCUGGAUAAGAAGCGCCGGCUAACUACGUG